RNAcentral lists this ribosomal RNA (253 nucleotides) under uncultured bacterium. Its description in RNAcentral is "partial 16S ribosomal RNA". It matches the Rfam family "Bacterial small subunit ribosomal RNA", at positions 524 to 776 of the family's 1533-position model. The record is from RNAcentral.
UACGUAGGGUGCAAGCGUUGUCCGGAAUUAUUGGGCGUAAAGAGCUCGUAGGCGGUUUGUCGCGUCGGAUGUGAAAUCCCAGGGCUUAACCCUGGGCCUGCAUUCGAUACGGGCAGACUAGAGUUCGGUAGGGGAGACUGGAAUUCCUGGUGUAGCGGUGAAAUGCGCAGAUAUCAGGAGGAACACCGGUGGCGAAGGCGGGUCUCUGGGCCGAUACUGACGCUGAGGAGCGAAAGCGUGGGGAGCGAACAGG